AGAGUUUGAUCAUGGCUCAGGAUGAACGCUAGCUACAGGCUUAACACAUGCAAGUCGAGGGGAAACGACAUCGAAAGCUUGCUUUUGAUGGGCGUCGACCGGCGCACGGGUGAGUAACGCGUAUCCAACCUGCUCAUCACUUGGGGAUAACCUUGCGAAAGUAAGACUAAUACCCAAUGACGUCUCUAGAAGACAUCUGAAAGAGAUUAAAGAUUUAUCGGUGAUGGAUGGGGAUGCGUCUGAUUAGCUUGUUGGCGGGUAACGCCACAAGGCGACGAUCAGUAGGGGUUCUGGAGAGGAAGGUCCCCCANAUUGGAACUGAGACACGGUCCAAACUCCUACGGGAGCA
RNAcentral lists this ribosomal RNA (349 nucleotides) under uncultured bacterium. RNAcentral describes it as "bacterial SSU rRNA". It matches the Rfam family "Bacterial small subunit ribosomal RNA", at positions 8 to 349 of the family's 1533-position model. The record is from RNAcentral.